ACUGGAGAUGGCGACCGGCGCACGGGUGAGUAACACGUAUCCAACCUGCCGAUAACUCGGGGAUAGCCUUUCGAAAGAAAGAUUAAUACCCGAUGGCAUAAUAGAACCGCAUGGUUUGAUUAUUAAAGAAUUUCGGUUAUCGAUGGGGAUGCGUUCCAUUAGGCAGUUGGUGGGGUGACGGCCCACCAAACCUUCGAUGGAUAGGGGUUCUGAGAGGAAGGUCCCCCACAUUGGAACUGAGACACGGUCCAAACUCCUACGGGAGGCAGCAUG
This 273-nucleotide ribosomal RNA is filed under the name uncultured bacterium. RNAcentral's name for it is "partial 16S ribosomal RNA". It matches the Rfam family "Bacterial small subunit ribosomal RNA", at positions 81 to 353 of the family's 1533-position model. The record is from RNAcentral.